CGCUGGCGGCGUGCCUAAUACAUGCAAGUCGAGCGGACCAAAGGGAGCUUGCUCCUGGAGGUCAGCGGCGAACGGGUGAGUAACACGUGGGCAACCUGCCUGUAAGACUGGGAUAACAUCGAGAAAUCGGUGCUAAUACCGGAUAAUAAAAAGAACUGCAUGGUUCUUUUUUGAAAGAUGGUUUCGGCUAUCACUUACAGAUGGGCCCGCGGCGCAUUAGCUAGUUGGUGAGGUAACGGCUCACCAAGGCAACGAUGCGUAGCCGACCUGAGAGGGUGAUCGGCCACACUGGGACUGAGACACGGCCCAGACUCCUACGGGAGGCAGCAGUAGGGAAUCUUCCGCAAUGGACGAAAGUCUGACGGAGCAACGCCGCGUGAGUGAUGAAGGUUUUCGGAUCGUAAAACUCUGUUGUUAGGGAAGAACAAGUGCCGUUCGAAAGGGCGGCACCUUGACGGUACCUAACGAGAAAGCCACGGCUAACUACGUG
RNAcentral lists this ribosomal RNA (490 nucleotides) under uncultured bacterium. RNAcentral describes it as "bacterial SSU rRNA". It matches the Rfam family "Bacterial small subunit ribosomal RNA", at positions 34 to 507 of the family's 1533-position model. The record is from RNAcentral.